CACGUAGGGGCCAAGCGUUGUCCGGAUUUAUUGGGCGUAAAGAGCUCGUAGGCGGUUCAGCAAGUCGGGUGUGAAAACUUCGGGCUUAACCCGGAGAGGCCACCCGAUACUGCUGUGACUUGAGUCCGGUAGGGGAGUGGGGAAUUCCUGGUGUAGCGGUGAAAUGCACAGAUAUCAGGAGGAACACCGGUGGCGAAGGCGCCACUCUGGGCCGGUACUGACGCUGAGGAGCGAAAGCGUGGGUAGCAAACAGG
RNAcentral lists this ribosomal RNA (254 nucleotides) under uncultured bacterium. Its description in RNAcentral is "partial 16S ribosomal RNA". It matches the Rfam family "Bacterial small subunit ribosomal RNA", at positions 524 to 776 of the family's 1533-position model. The record is from RNAcentral.